RNAcentral lists this ribosomal RNA (245 nucleotides) under uncultured bacterium. RNAcentral's name for it is "partial small subunit ribosomal RNA". It matches the Rfam family "Bacterial small subunit ribosomal RNA", at positions 26 to 286 of the family's 1533-position model. The record is from RNAcentral.
AGAAUCAACGCUGGCGGCGUGCCUAACACAUGCAAGUCGCACGAGAAAGUGGAGCAAUCCAUGAGUAAAGUGGCGCACGGGUGAGUAACACGUGAAUAAUCUACCUCCGAGUGGGGAAUAACUGAGAGAAAUCUUAGCUAAUACCGCAUAAUACCCACGGGUCAAAGCAGCAAUGCGCUUGGAGAGGAGUUCGCGGCCGAUUAGUUAGUUGGCGGGUAAUGGCCCACCAAGACGAUGAUCGGUAU